RNAcentral lists this ribosomal RNA (443 nucleotides) under uncultured bacterium. RNAcentral describes it as "partial 16S ribosomal RNA". It matches the Rfam family "Bacterial small subunit ribosomal RNA", at positions 338 to 795 of the family's 1533-position model. The record is from RNAcentral.
CCUACGGGUGGCAGCAGUGGGGAAUAUUGGGCAAUGGGCGCAAGCCUGACCCAGCAACGCCGCGUGAAGGAAGAAGGCUUUCGGGUUGUAAACUUCUUUUCUCAGGGACGAAGCAAUUGACGGUACCUGAGGAAUAAGCAACGGCUAACUACGGGCCAGCAGCCGCGGUAUUACGUAGGUGGCAAGCGUUAUCCGGAUUUACUGGGGGGAAAGGGCGUGUAGGCGGUACUGCAAGUCAGAUGUGAAAACCCCGGGCUCAACCUGUGGCCUGCAUUUGUAACUGUAGAUCUUGAGUACUGUAGAGGCAGCCGGAAUUCCUGGUGUAGCGGUGAAAUGCGUAGAUAUUAGGAGGAACACCAGUGGCGAAGGCGGUUUGCUGGACAGCAACUGACGCUGAGGAGCGAAAGCGUGGGGAGCAAACAGGAUUAGAUACCCUUGUAGUC